This 551-nucleotide ribosomal RNA is filed under the name uncultured bacterium. Its description in RNAcentral is "bacterial SSU rRNA". It matches the Rfam family "Bacterial small subunit ribosomal RNA", at positions 797 to 1353 of the family's 1533-position model. The record is from RNAcentral.
ACGCAGUAAACGAUGAAUACUAGCUGUUGGCGAUAUAAUGUCAGCGGUAAAGCGAAAGUGUUAAGUAUUCCACCUGGGGAGUACGCCGGCAACGGUGAAACUCAAAGGAAUUGACGGGGGCCCGCACAAGCGGAGGAACAUGUGGUUUAAUUCGAUGAUACGCGAGGAACCUUACCCGGGCUUGAAAGUUAGUGAAUGACUUGGAAACAGGUCAGUCCUUCGGGACACGAAACUAGGUGCUGCAUGGUUGUCGUCAGCUCGUGCCGUGAGGUGUCGGCUUAAGUGCCAUAACGAGCGCAACCCUUGUUGUUAGUUGCCAUCAGGUAAUGCUGGGAACUCUAACAAGACUGCUACUGUAAGGUAGAGGAAGGUGGGGAUGACGUCAAAUCAGCACGGCCCUUACGUCCGGGGCGACACACGUGUUACAAUGGUCGGUACAGAGGGUUGCUACCUGGCGACAGGAUGCUAAUCUCAUAAAACCGAUCUCAGUUCGGAUCGGAGUCUGCAACUCGACUCCGUGAAGCUGGAUUCGCUAGUAAUCGCGCAUCAGC